RNAcentral lists this ribosomal RNA (321 nucleotides) under uncultured bacterium. RNAcentral describes it as "bacterial SSU rRNA". It matches the Rfam family "Bacterial small subunit ribosomal RNA", at positions 84 to 422 of the family's 1533-position model. The record is from RNAcentral.
GCAAGACGUCAGCGGCAGACGGGAGAGUAACACGUGGGAACGUACCCUUCGGUUCGGAAUAACCCAGGGAAACUUGGGCUAAUACCGGAUACGUCCGUAAGGAGAAAGAUUUAUCGCCGAGGGAUCGGCCCGCGUCCGAUUAGCUAGUUGGUGGGGUAAUGGCCCACCAAGGCGACGAUCGGUAGCUGGUCUGAGAGGAUGAUCAGCCUCACUGGGACUGAGACACGGCCCAGACUCCUACGGGAGGCAGCAGUGGGGAAUAUUGGACAAUGGGCGCAAGCCUGAUCCAGCCAUGCCGCGUGGGUGAUAAAGGCCCUAGGG